GACGAACGCUGGCGGCGUGCUUAACACAUGCAAGUCGAGCGAUGAAGCUCCUUCGGGAGCGGAUUAGCGGCGGACGGGUGAGUAACACGUGGGUAACCUGCCUCAUAGAGGGGAAUAGCCUUUCGAAAGGAAGAUUAAUACCGCAUAAGAUUGUAGUUUCGCAUGAAGCAGCAAUUAAAGGAGUAAUCCGCUAUGAGAUGGACCCGCGUCGCAUUAGCUAGUUGGUGAGGUAACGGCUCACCAAGGCGACGAUGCGUAGCCGACCUGAGAGGGUGGUCAGCCGCAUGGGGACUGAGACACUGCCCCAAUCCUACGGGAGGCUG
RNAcentral lists this ribosomal RNA (323 nucleotides) under uncultured Bacillota bacterium. RNAcentral's name for it is "bacterial SSU rRNA". It matches the Rfam family "Bacterial small subunit ribosomal RNA", at positions 28 to 351 of the family's 1533-position model. The record is from RNAcentral. Lineage: Bacteria; Bacillati; Bacillota.